Long non-coding RNA from Acanthaster planci (crown-of-thorns starfish), 2981 nucleotides. Lineage: Eukaryota; Metazoa; Echinodermata; Asteroidea; Valvatida; Acanthasteridae. The record is from RefSeq and is a predicted model, not a curated record.
AAGCCAGCAUACCUACAGAGCAGCGAUCCUCAAAUGGCAAGCUGAUCUGCAUCAGUAGACAACUGAGUCUCUGUCAACAACAAUUCCAGGAGAAGCAUGCAUUCCUUACAGUAUUCUGAGAGGAUGCUGGCAAAACAAACCAGUACAAUCCAAAACUUGCCAAGAAUGUUGGUAGUUGGACCUGCAAGAGCCGACACUGCCAUACACCACAAGCAUUCCUGACCAUAUGGCAUGGUUAGGAUUUCACCACACUCUCAGGGGAAGGAAAACAGAUAGCUGCCUCCCACUGGAACCAGAGACUAAAACCCAGGAGCGCUUGGAUUUAAACUUGGAAGCAAGCAACCAUUAAUCAUAAAGCUACCAGUCAAGUGCUGGGUAUGAAUGUCAAGUGUUCCAACUUGAGACUCAAGGUUAUCGUGGAGGGGUCUGUCUCCAAGGUCUCGGCAGUUUACAUACCCUGUACACGUACACUGUACAUUGUAUAGUACCUACAUACCACUGGUAAAUUGACCAAAAAUGACACUCCAUGUGACGAAGUCUGCUGUUUAGUGUCUGUCUGAUUUGCUUACAAGUUAACAAGAAUGGGCCAUGCAUCUGCUUGUUUUGAAAAUGAUAAUUUUCAGAGAUACCGGUACUAAAUCCUAAUUUGAUUUUACCUGUAGACUGUUCAAGUCUGAUACACGUGUGGGUUAAAAAUGCCAGGUAAAACCUAAAAUCUCAGAAAAUUACAUUCCCUGUGCUUCCUUACAAUGAAGUGAAAAAAAGAGAUGAGAGCUGAUGUACUAGUACUGUUGUUGGGCAUUAUUCCCUGUAGUUAAAUGACAUUUUGAUCAAUUGAGAAACAGGUCCUAUUGUACACAACAAAUUACACCCCUGUUGUUGACAAUAAAAAUGAGUAAACAGUUGCUCAUAAUGCAUGUCGCAUAAUUUAUGGUCAUUGAUCAAUUUCAUACGGUGAUUCAUAGAGUCUUUUGAAUGAGAAUAAAAAGGUUUAAGUCGUACCUUUCAAGAACCAAGGUUAUUGAUUUAUUCAUGUGAAUUUCCCCUGCUUCUGUGCAAGAAAUAUGACCUGAAAUACAAGCAAUGUACGCACAAAACAAGAAUGACGGGGUGUAGGAUCAUCACCCAAUAUCAAAUUUGCCGAUCUACAAUACACACAUUUGUAAAUUCGCCUACGGUACAUGACAUUUGUGAUACUUCUCAAGGUAACGCAGGGAGGUGUCCCAACAAUAGGCAAGGUCAAAGUAUCUUUCAGGAACAGGUUUGCAUUGAAAUCCAGCUGUUGUGCUCUUUGUUGUGUGACUAAAUUGAUCCUGUUUUGUCGGGUACAGUUAGGUGAUUUUAAACAGGUUGUUUUUACCAAAACGGGAUUCAAUUACCGUACAUUAUUGAAAUGCUUCAAAGAAUCCUUAAAUGUGGGUGACAGAGUUUUUGUCUGGAUAUCAAAAAUGCUUAGUGUAAAGCAUGCACAAUCCAAAUGUAGGCAUUCACCUGAACAUGUACAUGGCUAUAUAUUGGUACAUCUUUGUCCAAUUCUACAUACAUGUACACGCAUGUAUAUGUACAGUACAUGUAUAAUUAACCAACGUGGUGCACGGUAUGCCUAGGUGUUUAUAGUUUGAUAAUGGUGCUAGUUACAGCACCUUUCUUUGAACCAAAAUGGCUCAAAAAUUACAACGUACAGUAUGUGUGCAGUGUUACUGUACCUCAGAAAGACUUUUCACCAUCACUGUUCUAAGACAUAUCCCACAAAAUUUGAAUAAACAUUUUUAUAUUUGGGGACGGAAUGCCACCAAAAUUACUGGUAUAAUUGGUUAGUAACAGUGAAUCUGACAUUUUUCUUCUAUGGGAUAUUGGAUUUCUGUUCAAAAAGUCCCCUCCAUCAAUUUUUCUUUUUCUGUUAGAACACAAAUCACCAGCAGUGGAAAUCUGUAAAUAUCUCAUGUUAUAAAGCAUAGCAUACAGAUUGUGCUUUACAAUCAUAAUUGCAUAUUACAGCUGUGUGUGUAUACCGUGUAGAGUAUUGAUUUGAAUGUCAGACCCACAAUGUACAGCACAUCUGCAAAUGAGCUUGCAUCGUUUCUGAAACAAUAAAACAAAUCAUGGCAAAAGACAGCAAACUUUUCAAGGAAUGUGGACAAUAUCACACAUACGUGUACACAUCGAACUGGCAUGAGUACAUGUACAUUGAAUUUUACAAUGCUCACAGCUGCACUCAACCUCUCUUGUAAAGUUUUCCAAAGCAGUGAAAUGUAAAUGUUGUCCUUCAACAAAUUUAACUGCUAAAUGUCAACAACCCGUGUUUACUUUGUUGAUUCAUGCCAAACAAACAUUUGCAGCUUAUUUAGUCCUACAAUGCAGGCAUGGUUUAUAAUGAUAACAACAAAUUAGGUCACCCUAGGUGAUGUCUCUUGUACUAGUGCAACAUACCGGUACAUGUAACAGCACAUAUUGUACAUGUGAUGGUUAGUAGUCGAAAAGCUGCAUACUUUCUGCAAUUUUCAGGUAUUGAGUCUCCGGUUUCAUGCCAGGAAAAUCAAAGACUCUUGUGAGCAAGUCCUUUGAAGAGAUUUAGGAUCUUCUGAAAACCCCCAUUCCAAGAAGUUGACCAUCUUCUGUUUGUUUGAAUAUAAGAUUGCAAGGUGUGUGUUGUUUGGCAAUAAAUUGGCAUUGGUAAGUACAGGAAAACAUCUGCUAUAAGCCUUAAAAUGCCAAAAAAUGAUCAUGUUGUGCAAUGCACAAAGCCAUUUUAACAUCUGCACAAAUGCACCUGUACCUAGAAUGUCUAUAACAUCAUUAACAUGAGUAUGCACGUAUGCAAGCCACCUUUUUUCCAGGAGCGUUUUCAGAAAGAAAAAAAACCAUUUGUUUAUCAUAAUAGUGUGUUUGUCACAGGUCUGCAACUUGUAACAUGCAUUUACAUGUAACAUAUUUAACUUUAUCAAGGAAAACAAGAAAACAAGCGUUGGAGACAAACCAUA